Molecule: ribosomal RNA, 498 nt
Filed under: uncultured bacterium
Lineage: Bacteria
Description: partial 16S ribosomal RNA
Rfam family: Bacterial small subunit ribosomal RNA
Source: RNAcentral
GAUGAACGCUGGCGGCGUGCCUAAUACAUGCAAGUCGAGCGAACAGACGAGAGUGCUUGCACUCUCUGACGUUAGCGGCGGACGGGUGAGUAACACGUGGGUAACCUACCUAUAAGACUGGGAUAACUUCGGGAAACCGGAGCUAAUACCGGAUAAUAUUUAGCUUCGCAUGAAGCAAUUGUGAAAGACGGUUCUGCUGUCACUUAUAGAUGGACCCGCGGUGUAUUAGCUAGUUGGUGAGGUAACGGCUCACCAAGGCAACGAUACAUAGCCGACCUGAGAGGGUGAUCGGCCACACUGGGACUGAGACACGGACCAGACUCCUACGGGAGGCAGCAGUAGGGAAUCUUCCGCAAUGGACGAAAGUCUGACGGAGCAAUGCCGCGUGAGUGAAGAAGGUUUUCGGAUCGUAAAACUCUGUUGUAAGGGAAGAACAAGUACGUUAGUAACUGAACGUACCUUGACGGUACCUUACCAGAAAGCCACGGCUAACUACGU